RNAcentral lists this ribosomal RNA (301 nucleotides) under uncultured bacterium. RNAcentral describes it as "partial 16S ribosomal RNA". It matches the Rfam family "Bacterial small subunit ribosomal RNA", at positions 509 to 807 of the family's 1533-position model. The record is from RNAcentral.
CAGUCGCCGCGGUAAUACGGAGGGGGCUAGCGUUGUUCGGAAUUACUGGGCGUAAAGCGCACGUAGGCGGCUUUACAAGUCAGAGGUGAAAGCCUGGAGCUCAACUCCAGAAUUGCCUUUGAGACUGUAUCGCUUGAGCACGGGAGAGGUGAGUGGAAUUCCGAGUGUAGAGGUGAAAUUCGUAGAUAUUCGGAAGAACACCAGUGGCGAAGGCGGCUCACUGGACCGUUGUUGACGCUGAGGUGCGAAAGCGUGGGGAGCAAACAGGAUUAGAUACCCCGGUAGUCCCUGUCUCUUAUAC